This is a long non-coding RNA of Myotis davidii, 923 nucleotides long. RefSeq lists it as uncharacterized. The record is from RefSeq and is a predicted model, not a curated record. The transcript has 3 exons. NCBI's taxonomy places the organism in Eukaryota, Metazoa, Chordata, Mammalia, Chiroptera, Vespertilionidae.
GAAAGUGAGAUUUCAAGGGCCAGUGCCCGGCUCCCCCGGGCUGGCGGCGCCUGGGCGCGUGGCCGGGCUGCGAGGAGCGGCUCCCGGCCAAGUGGGCGCCGGGGCGGGAGCGCGGGCCAGGCACUUAGUUAGCGGGAGGUCCGGACCUCCAGAUCGGGGAGGUGGGGCCUCGUUUUUCCCGGUUGUACAUCGUUUUAUUCCUGUCCCCGUCCCCCAAGCUGCCAACUCCUAAGUUAGCGCUUUGGCUCCUGAGAGAUGGCCUGGCGUUAGGGGGAGAGCCCUCGUUGCCUAGUUGAAGUCUUGGGUCACACUUCCUGAACCUGCGUUUAUGCUUGUGUGAUACGAUUGAGUUUGUAGUCUGACCACUACAAACCUAAAGUUCCAAAGGCGAGAAGGAAACAAGAUCUGGGCCAGGCUUUGCAGACGAUUCCCGGAAUGACCCCGGCGUGGUUCUUCCGCCCUUCACCUUCCCCGCGUUUACCUGCGAAGUGUGCCUCGUCAACAGUCAACCUUGUCCAUGCACCUCUUGGGAGGAACAUUGUGAUGGGAGUUGUGAGCUUACUGUCGGUGUCUGAAGAACCUCCGGGACUUUGGAAAUAAUAGCGUAGUUUAUUCAGCUCGGGAUUGCCGCUUUCUGAUCCACGAAGAGCACAGUGGCAUAAGGUAAAGGAAGCAGACGUCCAAGGCAGAUGUACUGGCACAAGAUAAAAAUGAUGAUACAGCAGAUGUUGAAGAAACUGAUAUCAGAGGCUGGAAGAAGGAAACCCAUGCUUUGCAGUGGGAGAAUAAUUGUUCAUAGGUUGCAUCUGGACCUAAUGAAGAUGACUGCAUUACCUGAACAUCUAGUUUUUAGCCCAGCUGGUGUGGCUCAGCAACUGAACAUCAUCGUAUGAACCAGGAGGUCACAAUUUGAUUCCUGGUCA